RNAcentral lists this ribosomal RNA (3033 nucleotides) under Triticum aestivum (bread wheat). RNAcentral describes it as "partial small subunit ribosomal RNA". Lineage: Eukaryota; Viridiplantae; Streptophyta; Magnoliopsida; Poales; Poaceae. The record is from RNAcentral.
AUGGUGGACCCCGUGACCGGGUUAGGAAUAGGCAUGAAAGCUCUAGGGUGGGUGGCAUCGCCCAUCAUCUCCGAGCUUUUCAAGAAAUGCUCCACCUACCUCAGCUUCGACGCAUCGGAGAAGCUGCGGCAACUUGGGCCAAAACUUAUAUUGCUCGAGCGGGCGAUGGAGGUAUUUGACAAGAUCCCCGGCAGGGAUCGUCUGGAGAAGCUGUUUGAGGAUCUCAAGUCUGCUUUCUAUGAAGCUGAAGACAUCUUGGAUGAUGUUGAGUACCACUGUCUUGAGAAGGAGAUCCACAGCAUGCCUCCACGCAAGAGGGAUUGGGUGAAGAAACUCCUGCCCAGCCAAUGCUUGAAAAUUAAGGAGACUGGUAUGCCCAAAAAGGAAUUGAAGGAUAGUCUAGAGAAGAUAGAAGGAAUUAUAAACACUGCAUACAAGUUUGUUGAACAUCUCAAGUUGUUGACUGUAAGUAAUGUCCAGGGAAGCCAAGCUGUUCCUGCCAGUUCAGGUGGUUUAGCAACUACUGCGGCUCCUCCGCCAAUAGUAAUAGGCCGCGAUAAAGAGCGUGACCAGAUCAUUGCAAUGCUUCAUGAGAAGGAAGGUGAUGAUCAGCUAGACACAAACAGCAAUUUAUGUUAUUCUGUAAUAGGUAUUCAUGGCAUCGGCGGGUCUGGGAAAUCAACCCUUGCACAGUUAGUUUGUGACCAUGAGAAAAAGUACAAGCAAGAGAAAAGGGACGGCCAUUUUGACCUUGUAAUGUGGGUUCAUGUUUCUCAGAAUUUUAGUGUGGAUACUAUUUUCAAGGAGAUGUUUGAGGCAGCUACAGGGCAUUCAUGUGCUCACUUCAAUAAUCUUAAUACCCUACAAGAUAAGUUGGAGGAGAAACUACAUGGAAAAAGAUUCCUUUUAGUACUCGAUGAUAUCUGGUGUAACAUUAAGGAUGAGAGGCAGCAAGGGGAAUUGCGAAAGAUAGUUUCACCACUCAAAGCUGGAGAAGUAGGAAGCAAGGUUCUGGUGACUAGUCGAAGCGAGGAUGCAUUACUAGUUCUGGGUGCUAUAAAGCCGACAUGUAUUCCCAUACCUGAUUUGGAUGCUCAGGUCUUCCAUAGUUUGUUAAUGCAUUAUGCACUUGAAGGUGUUGUCAUAGAUGAUCAUGUUCGAAGAAGACUCAGUAUGAUUGGGGCUGACAUUGCAAAAAAGCUUAAGGGAUCACCUCUAGCAGCCAGGAUUGUGGGAAGACGGCUAGGCAGGAGACCCAAAGCUGAGUUUUGGGUAACUGUUAAAAAUGGGAAGCUUGUCGACGGGACUAUGGGAGCUCUGUGGUGGAGCUACCAACAUCUUGAUCAGCAGGCUAGGCGAUGCUUUGCUUACUGUAGUAUUUUUCCCCGAAGACGUCAAUUGUAUCUUGAUGAGUUAAUUAAAUUGUGGGUGGCAGAAGGGUUUAUAAGAACACCAAAUGAACGGGAGGAUGUAGAAGAUGUUGGUCGGGAAUACUUUGAUGAGUUAGCAUCAACCUCAUUUCUGCAAAAGGCAGGAAAGUACAAUGGCAAUGACUACUAUUUACUUCAUGAUCUUGUGUAUGAUUUAGCAGAGAUGGUCGCCGGAAGUGAUUGCUUCAGAAUCGAAAAUGGCUGGAGAUGGGAAGAACCCAAGAGAGGAGUAGGGUGGCGAGGAGAUGUUCCUCUAAGUGUCCGCUAUCUUUUUGUUCAGAAUUACGAUGCGGAAUUGAUUACCAAGAAAAUUCUUAAAUUGAAAAGUUUGCGCACUCUGAUCAUUGAUGCUAUUGAAAUGUAUACACCAGUUGAGGAAAAAGUCAUUGCGAGUAUAUUCAAGAAGCUGCAGAAACUUCGGGUACUAACCGUGGGGUGUUGUAAUAAUUGGGUAAUCAGGAAGCCCGAUGUGUUAUACAUCCCAGAAGCUAUUAUUGAGUUAAAGCAUCUACGCUAUCUUGCUUUUAGGACAAACAUGUUAUGCAGGGUAAUUUUACCAAACGCAAUGUCCAAGCUUUACCACAUGCAGCUGCUAGAUUUUGGUGAGUGCAAAAAGAUGCAAUUUUCCUACGGUGACCUUAUCAAAUUGCGGCAUGUAUUUGGCUUUUCAGGAAUGGAUAUUUCCAACAUCGGCAGGCUGACCUCACUCCAAACAAUACCAUCCUUCAUAGUAAGAAAGGAACAAGGAUAUGAAGUAAAGCAGCUGAGGGGCCUAAACAAGCUUCACGGUAGACUUAGCAUCAGCGGUCUUGAAAAUAUUGAGAGCAAGGAGGAGGCUCUUGAAGCCAAUCUAGCUGGCAAGGAGCAACUAACACAACUAGUAUUGUACUGGGGUGGUGAUACGAGUCGCAAUCCAGAAGUUCAAGCAGAGGUACUUGAAGGCCUUUGUCCUCCUGUGGGGCUUGAGACACUGCACAUUUUGGGUUAUGAAGGUUCGAAGUACCCAAAUUGGAUGGUGAGUACGCAUAGCGAAGGACCAAAUGAGCUGCAAGAACUAUGGUUGUAUGGAUGGAGCCAACAUGGACCUGCUCCUGAACUCGAGGCUUUCGCUCAUCUUUGUUCGUUGGAGCUUUGGAACUGCACCUGGUUCGCCUUACCAUGCAAUAUGAAGCACCUCAUGUCGCUCAAGAGAUUAUUGAUCGAUGCAUGCUUGAAUAUUCGGUCACUUCCAACAUUGCCCCUGUCACUCGAGGAGUUUACACUCAAGCGGUGCAACGUUGAGUUUGUGAAGUCUUGCGAGACACACGGCCAUCCAAACUGGCAAAAGAUUGAGCACGUUCCCAUGAAAAGUCUUCUAAGUCAAGGAUGUAAGACUAUGAUUUGCGUUGCUGUUUUUUUUUCAUUUGUAUUUGUAGAGUGCUGCUUCCGUGAGGACGAACUGUUACUAACAACUUACCCUUUUUUCAACUUAUUUGUUAGCUUUCCGUUCUCACGAGGAUGUAUGAUGGUCUUGUGUCAUGAAGACAGCGGAGGGAACGUUCAACGGAGAGAAUUUGUAGUGGUACAAAGCAGCGCAUGUUACCGUCCUACCAAUGCACAGUAG